Molecule: long non-coding RNA, 2014 nt
Organism: Gallus gallus (chicken)
Lineage: Eukaryota; Metazoa; Chordata; Aves; Galliformes; Phasianidae
Exons: 3
Source: RefSeq, a predicted model, not a curated record
AUGGGAUGGGAUAGGAUAGUUCAGGAAUCUCAAAUCUGCAUCCAUGGAGAUACUGGAACUUAUCAGGCUGGGUGAACCUGUCCUAAAGUCAAAGUUGGAUCUAACUUUGAGGGGGUGGACUGGGUGAUGUCUAGAAGUGCAAUCCAAAUUGAACUGUUAAAUGGUUUUAUUAACUUCUUGUACGAAGCAGGAAGGCAGAGGAUGCCUCAGGCAUACACAGGGCUUGACACUUCUGUAAUGGUUUUCAGUUGCCUACUUUCUGUUUAGUGUUGGGCACAAUUUAGUGGAGCAAAGUUACAAAAGGAGCACAAAGAGCAGGAUUCAAGGCAGUCUCACAUCCCUCCAAUUUCACACGUGCUGCACUGCCUGCCCUGGUACUUCACUGGGAAUCAGGGAGAAGGGACAAUCAAUUUUCUCCCACAUAGCUGAAAUUGAAGCUGUUGUCCCUUGCAUGAACCUGGGCAGAGCUGGGAAAGGACUGAUGUCAUCACCCCACAGAGGAAGGAGAACCUUUUCCUUAAUGGGGAGCCCCUGUGUGGUGCGGGCACUGCAGGCCAGCUCCUGCUAACUCCCAGGCUAAUAGCUUUCAGAAUGAGAGCAAUCGCCUCGCCCCCAUUUGUGGUACCUGGCAGGUGUCCCAGUCAGCAUCAGCAGGCUGGGUUGAGCUGGGAAGGUUCUGAAUCAUUUUGACUCUGCUGGAUUAUGAUAGAUCUGGCAAUCCAGUCGUUUGUGUAACCAAAAAUAAUAAUAAAAAAAAUUAGGCUUUAAUAUUUUAAACUGCUUUCUGUUUGUGUAAGGCCCUGGGACAGCAAGAGGGCGGCCUAUGGGAGAUGAAGUGGAGUAAUUUAUCUUUUCUUCCCACAUCUUGCCUCUGUGGGUGGGUGUUGGCACACUAUAUUCAGAGUCCCAUAAACCAAUGGAUGAGGACUUCAAUUGGUACAGCUCAGGCCUGAUUUACCUUGCUCUGCUUGUGCCUAAGAGAUGUUCUUAAGUCAAAAUAUACAGUGCCAGCUCAGAAGCUGGGAUUAUUCAGGCUUCAGGAGGUCUGCUCCUGUCUGACUUGAGCAAAAUAAAUGCAAGGCUUUGCAUAAUUCUCAUUAAUCAUUUAAAGCACAGUUUGCAUUGAAGCAUUGAAGUCUCCCACUUUUUUUUUUUUUUUCAGUUGGCAAGCCAUGAAACACCAGCAUGUUAGAAAAGAGAGAGCCUGAAGGAAAAACAAAGAACAGGAGGGUCUAAGAGAGAGAAGGGCGCUUGCUGCCUUUCUCUUAUCAGCUGAGGAUACAGAGGGGUAUAUUAGUGUGGGUGAAACAGACUACUCAUCCCAAAUUCAAGUCCAUUAAUGCCUGAUGUGACUCCAAGGCAGAGUUAACUGAGCAGAUCCAAGUUGUGUCACCUUCCCAAAGGUCCCCCCAAACUCAUUCCUGACCCUGCUUUGGUGUUCCCUUUUCUUUCUGACAGCUCCAUAAAAAAGCCUGAAGCAGUGCCUUGCUUCCCCUGACUCAUCGUUUGUCAGCUCAAAGGAUCAGCAGGAUUUCUUUUCGUACCUACUACUGUGAAACCAGUGCCAGCUAGAUGCUUUAUCUGAGAACACAGGGGUCUUCAGUAAGAUGCAUAAUCCUACCCUCAAGAAACCUACAUGCAGCCCCACAGAUCUGCCACAUCACCUGGCCUCUUUUCCUUUUAACUGCACUUGGGUGGCUGUGUGCAAUGCUCCUUUCUGGGAUGACCUGAUCAGCCUAAAGACAAAUUCAGCAAGGAGCACGAACAAGACAACUGCUGGGGCCAUUUGCAGUAACAUCCUCCUAAGUAGCAACACGUUACCGUGUCUCCUGCUUCACCACUGGCUGCCAGAGCAUCAUCCGGGGACCUGUUCUCUGCCCUCCCUGGAAUUCAUUUAGCUAUGUUUUAGAAUUGGAAAGAAGAUGCACUUUGUCAGUUCUUCCUCAUUAAAAUAAUAACAAUAAUGGUCAUCAUCAUCAAAAGCCUUUCACAGUAAAGAUCAUGUUGCUGUCUC